UUCUAUCUGAAGCAGGGAUCAGUCCUCUGUUCCCUCAUUGGCAAGUCACUGGAAAGAGGAACCGGGAGGAGUACCAAAGUCUCUGCAGUGGUCAUCACUGGUCACAGGACAGCAGGGCACGGGGAGAGCCCCAGACUGCCCAAAGGAGGGAGCAGGCCCUGCAGUCUUCCGGGAGGAGGUGGGGCCUGAACCACCCGUAAGAGAUACACAGGACCCGGGAAGAGGGCCUGGAGGAAAGGGUGAGUCCGGGUGGGGUGGCAGCAUCCUCUCUAGGCUGAGCUUGGAAAUGGAUGCAUGGAACCAGGCAUGCCAGGGGCCAGCCAGAAGGCCCGAUGCACCGUCUUCCCGGACAGUAGGUCCCAAUAAUCCAGCACAAAUGACAGGAGAGGCUCUAGGGACGUCUGGGCAUCACAGACCGAUGCAGCAAAGACAUCAAGUCUUCACUGCAGCCCCUGUUGCUAUUUAAGGAAGGAAAACCCCUGUGUGUGGUAACAGGCAAGCAGAGAUUGGUACCUGUGAGUAGGGAUCCUGCUCCCAGGUAGGGGGCGAAACCAGAUGAUACUAGCCCUGGUUUUCCGGUUCUAAUAAGUGGGACUUUGGCCCAGUGACAUCCCCUUACUGUGCCUCCGUUUUCAAGCCACAGAGCAGGAGCAGCAACAUAUGCCACAUUCAUUCAUCGGCUUGUUCACUGGCUGAUCCCAUGAGUCACGGUGCUGAUCCCAUGAGUCACGGUGCUGGGCACCGUGCUGGACGCUGGGCACCUGCUGGACGCUGGGCACCAUGCUGGACGUUUAGGCACCUGCUGGACCCUGGGCACCGUGCUGGAUGCUGGGCACCACAGACAGUAAGCUCUCACGGGGCCAACACCCUAGAGGCACUAGAGGAGCAGUCGCUCAAUGAAUAGAGAUGUACAAAUUUGGGUAAGUGCUCUAAACAGGUACGAGAGCUGUAAGAACAGGAAAUGGAGAACGUGAAAUGAUUCAGCCUAGCAAGAAAGGUCGGGGAAAGUUUUCCAGAAGUGACAUUUGUGAUGACACGCAAAGAAUAAGGGGGCAAUGGGAUGAAAUUUGGAGAAAGGGGAAAGGCAUUCCAGGCAGAGGGAACAGCACAUAAAAGGCCCAGUGGCAGGAGGGAGUGUGGGACCAUCGAGCCCCUCCCAAGCCAGUGCCUGGUGCACGGACCACAAAAGGGUGACAGGAAGCAGAUUUGUUGAGAGGUUGACAAGGGCAACAUGGGGAGGCAGCCACCAAAGGGCUCGAGCAGGGACAGGUGCCUGGCCAGCAGAGCUCAGGGGGAGAAGGGACAGGACGAUGGGAUCGGGGAGUAGAGGCCGGGAACUACAUUCCAGGGUUCCCACUUGCUCAGGUGGGCGGCCAGGGGGUCUAGUCCUGCUCAGGUGCCGACUGUGGGGAAACAACUCCUCCUCCUAGAGACUGGAAGAGCUGGAACCAGCUCAGCGGGUGAGA
RNAcentral lists this long non-coding RNA (1466 nucleotides) under Felis catus (domestic cat). Its description in RNAcentral is "lncRNA (ENSFCAG00000049369.1)". The record is from RNAcentral. Lineage: Eukaryota; Metazoa; Chordata; Mammalia; Carnivora; Felidae.